AGAGUUUGAUCCUGGCUCAGGAUGAACGUUGGCGGCGUGCCUAAUACAUGCAAGUCGAACGGAGAUUGUAGCAAUACGGUCUCAGUGGCGAACGGGUGAGUAACGCGUUGGUGACCUGCCCCGAAGUGUGGAAUAACAGAUCGAAAGAGCUGCUAAUACCGCAUAAUAUCCAGGAGAUUAGAUGCUUCUGGAUUAAAGGAUUUAUCCGCUUCGGGAGGGGCCUGCGUCCCAUCAGCUAGUUGGUAAGGUAAAGGCUUACCAAGGCGAUGACGGGUAGGGGACCUGAGAGGGUGGCCCCCCACAAUGGAACUGAAACACGGUCCAUACACCUACGGGAGGCAGCAGUGGGGAAUAUUGCACAAUGGACGAAAGUCUGAUGCAGCAACGCCGCGUGGAGGAUGACACAUUUCGGUGCGUAAACUCCUUUUAUAUGGGAAGAUAAUGACGGUACCAUAUGAAAAAGCACCGGCUAACUCCGUGCCAGCAGCCGCGGUAAUACGGAGGGUGCAAGCGUUACUCGGAAUCACUGGGCGUAAAGAGCGUGUAGGCGGAUAUAUAAGUCAGAAGUGAAAUCCAAUAGCUUAACUAUUGAACUGCUUUUGAAACUGUAUAUCUAGAAUGUGGGAGAGGUAGAUGGAAUUUCUGGUGUAGGGGUAAAAUCCGUAGAGAUCAGAAGGAAUACCGAUUGCGAAGGCGAUCUACUGGAACAUUAUUGACGCUGAGACGCGAAAGCGUGGGGAGCAAACAGGAUUAGAUACCCUGGUAGUCCACGCCCUAAACGAUGCACACCUAGUUGUUGUGAGGCUAGACCUUGCAGUAAUGCAGUUAACACAUUAAGUGUGCCGCCUGGGGAGUACGGUCGCAAGAUUAAAACUCAAAGGAAUAGACGGGGACCCGCACAAGCGGUGGAGCAUGUGGUUUAAUUCGACGAUACACGAAGAACCUUACCUGGACUUGACAUAGUAAGAACUUUCUAGAGAUAGAUUGGUGUCUGCUUGCAGAAACUUAUAUACAGGUGCUGCACGGCUGUCGUCAGCUCGUGUCGUGAGAUGUUGGGCUAAGUCCCGCAACGAGCGCAACCCUCGUCAUUAGUUGCUAACAGUUCGGCUGAGAACUCUAAUGAGACUGCCUACGCAAGUAGGAGGAAGGUGAGGACGACGUCAAGCCAUCAUGGCCCUUACGUCCAGGGCUACACACGUGCUACAAUGGGGUAUACAAAGAGCCGCAAUACAGUGAUGUGGAGCAAAUCUCAAAAAUAUCUCCCAGUUCGGAAAAUAGUCUGCAACUCGACUACAUGAAGUUGGAAUCGCUAGUAAUCGUAGAUCAGCUAUGCUACGGUGAAUACAAAACCGGGUCUUGCACUCACCGCCCGUCA
This 1375-nucleotide ribosomal RNA is filed under the name uncultured bacterium. Its description in RNAcentral is "bacterial SSU rRNA". It matches the Rfam family "Bacterial small subunit ribosomal RNA". The record is from RNAcentral.